RNAcentral lists this ribosomal RNA (279 nucleotides) under uncultured bacterium. RNAcentral's name for it is "partial 16S ribosomal RNA". It matches the Rfam family "Bacterial small subunit ribosomal RNA", at positions 506 to 784 of the family's 1533-position model. The record is from RNAcentral.
UGCCAGCAGCCGCGGUAAUACGUAGGUGGCAAGCGUUGUUCGGAAUAACUGGGCGUAAAGGAUGCGUAGGCGGUUGAAUAAGUUAUGUGUUAAAUAUAUGGGCUUAACCCGUAGAAGGCAUAUAAGACUGUUUAACUAGAGUGCAGGAGAGGUAAGUGGAAUUCCUAGUGUAGCGGUGAAAUGCGUAGAGAUUAGGAAGAACACCAGUGGCGAAGGCGACUUACUGGACUGUAACUGACGCUGAGGCAUGAGAGCAUGGGGAGCAAACAGGAUUAGAUA